RNAcentral lists this non-coding RNA (183 nucleotides) under Clostridia bacterium. Its description in RNAcentral is "6S RNA". It matches the Rfam family "6S / SsrS RNA". Rfam says of the family: E. coli 6S RNA was the first non coding RNA to be sequenced, but its function was unknown until recently. It consists of 184 nucleotides that fold into an extended hairpin structure with a large single-stranded internal bulge. The record is from RNAcentral. Lineage: Bacteria; Bacillati; Bacillota; Clostridia.
UUGAGUCUGCGGUGUUCGUGGUAUGGGAAAUUCGUAAUCCACAAAGUUAAUAAGGGAGCGGUUUCGUCCGCGGGAAUAGUUAAGGUCUGUAUUAUUCGGAAAGAACGACGUUUCGCGGCGUCGCACCCACCUGCGAGAAUGCGGGUUAACACUUUUUCAUAUCACGGCACAGGCGGAUUUGUA